CUGCACGGCUCCAGUGAAAGGUUCCGCCACCGAGGUAGACCCUCUUCAAUGGGAAAGUUCACUUUGUGGGGAGCUGUUCCUGUAAAGCAACCUCAGAGAUAUCAACAAUUGAAGCUCAUUUCCUGGCGUUUUCCAUGGUCUCAGAGAUAUCACCACCUAGCAAGAAAUACCAUUAACGAUGAGAGAUAAGAGCAAGAUUUAAAAUAAGGGUGGAGGCAACAAAGAAAAGGGAGACAAAAGUUAAUAUGAAGCACGAAGAAACAAUUUAAAAAGAAGCUCCCUACUUCCAAUGGUUCCUGAAAGAUCACCAACAAUGCCUCUACAGCGUUCUCAGCAAUCUCCUUCAGAAUUGUGGGGUGCAGUCAAUCUGGUGCAGGUUAUUUAUCCACCUUCAGACCUUUCAUCUUCGAGAUUGCCAAUCUACACUCUAACAGUAAUAAUACUCUGUUGCGCUAGGAACAAAACUGUAUCAAUUUACAAUCUCGUAAAGUGAAAUAAAUCUGUUACACUAGUAAUAUACCUUAUUCUAACAAAA
Molecule: long non-coding RNA, 535 nt
Organism: Stegostoma tigrinum
Lineage: Eukaryota; Metazoa; Chordata; Chondrichthyes; Orectolobiformes; Stegostomatidae
Exons: 3
Source: RefSeq, a predicted model, not a curated record